Molecule: long non-coding RNA, 2940 nt
Organism: Daphnia pulex (common water flea)
Lineage: Eukaryota; Metazoa; Arthropoda; Branchiopoda; Diplostraca; Daphniidae
Exons: 6
Source: RefSeq, a predicted model, not a curated record
AGCAGUGCUCUAUUUGUCACCAACUGCCUUCUUCAUCGUAUUAUCAGUUCGCAAUCAUGGUUAAUGAUGGCGUCGUGGUGCUGUUGGGUGUUUUAUCGUUGAUGGCUGAGUUGACCACUUGUGUACCCAUGUCUCCUGGGUAUGGCGGAUACCAAACAACAACGCCACCGUCUUACUAUACAACAACAACAUAAGCAACAACCGGUUACAACACCACCAAGGCUCAAGAGUAUUACACCACGACUUAUGCUGCUCUGAAGUAUAACUCUGCCACGAGCUACAUCACCAAAAAGCUGGAGUACUACACCGAGGACCCUAAUUACUACAACACUUAAGCGCAACUACACUACAACCUCCGCUGCACCGAGCUACUACACCGACGCCCAAAAGUAUUACUCUGCGUAAAAGGAGUCGUCUAAAAAAAUAGAAGUCGUAUAAAAGGAGAGAGAAAAAGCGAUCAGUCGUGUGAUCGUCUCCGACACGGAAAUAACUGCUGUGCACUAUCUGUCACCAACUUCCUUCUUCACCGUAUUACCAGUUUGCAAUCAUUGUUAUCCGUAGUUAUCUAUGGCGUCGUGGUGCUGUUGGGUGUUCGUUGGUGUAUCGUUGAUGGCUGAGUUGUCCACUUGUGUAAUGAUGUCUCCUUGCUAUGGCGGAUACCAAACCGCAACGCCGCCGCCUAACUACACAAUAACAAGACACGCAACAUCUGGUUACUACACCACCAAGGUUCCAGAUUAUUGCACCAAAACUUAUGAUGCCCCGAGCUACUACACCGAGCGCCGAAGUAUAACUUUGCCUCGAGCUACAUUACCAAAGAGCCGGAGUACUACACCGAUGCUUCCAAGUACUACAACACUAAGACACCGGAAUACUACACCACUAAGUAUGAUUUCCUUGCCUAAUACUCCGAGGUCCCUAAUUACUACAGCACCGAAGCGCCUAAGUACUACUACUCUGCCCCGACCUACUAAACCGACUCCCCGAAGUUAUUAUCUGCGUAAAAGAAGUCGUAUAAAAUGAGAGAGAAAAUACGGUAGAAAUCAGUCAAGUGUGGAUCUCCGACACGACAACAAAUGCAUUGUACUAUCUUUCACCAACUGCAUUCCUUAACGUGUAUAACCAAUUCGCAAUCAUGGUUAACUAUGGCGUUGUGCUGCUGUUGAAUCGUUGGUGACUGGGUCGAUCAUGGGUGUGCUGAUUUUCCUGGAUAUGGUGGAUUUCAAACAACAGCAGCGAAAGAAUAGUACACCACGUUGCCGCCUUAAUACACAACGUCAACAUACGCAACACCUACUUACUACACUGAGUCUCCUAAGUACUACACCACCAAGGCUCCAGAGUACUACACGAAACCUUACGCUACCUUAAGCUACCACACCGAAGUAUUACUCUGCCCCGAGUUACAUCACCGAAGCGCCUGAGUAUUAUACUGAUGCUCCCACGUAUUACACUACAACCUACGCUGCUCUAGCUUACUAUACUGAUGCUCCGAAGUACUAUUCUGAUCAUAGCCACUACACCGAAGCUCCAGCUUAUUACACCACCAAAGCGGUCGAGUACGACACCGAAGCGUCCAAGUACACUGCAACCUACUGCAGCGCACUGUUUGUCAUCAACUGUCUUCUUCAUCGUAUGAAAUCAGUUCGCAAUCAUGGUUAACUAUGGCGUUGUUGGCGCUGUUUGGUAUUGUAUCAUUGAUGGCUGCGUUGUCCACGAGUGUACCGACGUCCCCUGGGUAUCGUGGAUAGUAAACCUCAACACCCUCGCCUUACUACACAACAACAACAUGCGCAACAACCGGUUACUACACCACCAAGGCUCCAGUGUAUUGAAGCAAAACUUAUGAUGCCCCGAGCUACUACACAGAGCCCCAAAGUAUAAGUCUGCCCUGAGUCAUUUUAUCAAAGAGUCGGAGUACUACACCAAAGCGCCCAAGUACUUCACUACAACCUACGCUGCUCCGAGCUUCUACACCGAAGCCCUGAAUUAUUACACUGCGUUAAAGGAGUCGUCUAAAAAAGUCGUAUAAAAGUAGAGAAAAGGAGGUAGAAAUCAGUCGAGUGAGGAUCUCCGACACGGCAACAACUGCAAUGGAUUACUUGUCACCAACUGGAUUGUUAAUCGUAUAACCAGUCCGCAAUCAUGGUAAACUAUAGCGUCGUGCUGCUGUUGGGUGUUGAUUGUUGAAUCAUUGAUGACUGGGUCGACCGCUGGUGUACCGAUGUCUCCUUGGCAUAGCGGAUACCAAAACUCAAUGCCUCUGCAGGGUACUAGUACACAACAACAACAACUUACGCAACGACUAGUUACUAGACAGAGGGCCCUAAGUACUACACCACUAAGGCACCGGAGUAUUAUACCACAAAUUACGCUGCCCUGAGCUACUACAUUGACGCCCUUAAGUAUUACUCUUCCCCGAACUACACCACCCCUUAGUACCCGAUUACUACACAACUUCGUAUGCUGCGCUGUCCCAUCCUACUACACAGAGGCUCCCAAGUACUACUCUGUUCUCAUCUGCUUACUACACCACUAAGGCACCGGAGUAUUAUACCACAAAUUACGCUGCCCCGAGCUACACCAACCUUAGCACCGGAGUACAACACGACUUCGUAUGCUGCGCUGUCCCAUCCUACUACACCGAGGCUCCCAAGUACUACUCGGUUAUCAGCUGCUUACUACACCAAUCCUAAGUACUACUUUGUUCCCAGCUACAACAUUGAAGCUCCAACUUAUUACACCACUGAAGUGGUCAACUACUACACCAAAGCGCCAAGUACUACACUGCAACCUACGCUGCCCCAGGUUACACCACGAAGGCACCGGAAUACUACAUCAUAACGUGCCUCAGCCUAAUACACCCGAUCUACACAACCACAUCUGAGGCGUCAAAGUAUUACUACACAGCGCCUUCAAUUUUAUAGUAAGGUGACAGCA